This 3509-nucleotide long non-coding RNA is filed under the name Lathyrus oleraceus (garden pea). Its description in RNAcentral is "Pisum sativum (pea) long non-coding RNA (PSAT_LNC008589)". The record is from RNAcentral. Lineage: Eukaryota; Viridiplantae; Streptophyta; Magnoliopsida; Fabales; Fabaceae.
AUCAGGACAAUCAAACCUCCUUGUUUUAAGCCAGUUGUGGGUCAUACCAUUGUUUUAUGGAUGUUAUAUCAAAACCCUAGUCUUGUGGUCCCAUUUCAUGGUUUUGUCCAUAUACACUAUCAGUCAAGUAUUAUCUUUGCAAAAGUCAAACAUCCAAGCCAAUUGUGAAAUCAAUUUCAAUCAUUUUUCAAAAACCAUUCAGAUCCAUUCUAUCCAUUUUAAACCAUUACAUGUGAUUCCAUACAAGAAAAUACAAAGUUUGGCAUUUUUGACCAACUGUUGACUUUGGUCAACAGUUGACUUUUUGGUCAACUUUGACGAAAGUCAACCAUAAUCCAUUAAACCCUAAUUUCACCCAUAAUUGUCCAUAGAAUAUCCAUUUACAAAGAAAUCAUAAAGAAAAUACAAAAAUUGACAUUUUUGACCCAUUGUUGACUUUGGUCAAUAGUUGACUUUUUUGGUCAACUUUGACCAAAGUCAACUCACCCUCUAUUUUACCACCUAAGACAUAACCUAGUCUUCCUUCAUUGAUCCAUCAUCCAAAAGUCAUGCUUGGGGUGUGUUGCUUUGUAUCUUCAUUUCCAAGCAAUUCAAUUCCUUUUACAAACUCUUGUGCACCUUGCCAUUUGGACUUUGUUGCAUUUCCAACCAUAGCUUCACAUUGCUAAACAUGGUCCUAUAUUCACCACAAACAGGUACCACAAUCACAUAAUCAUAUACCAUGCUUACAUUGGUUAAUUGGACAAGACAAUUCAAUUGGAUUUGGCCUUGAACUCAUCUUGGCAAACAUCCUGCCAUCAUAGUCCUAUAGCAGGCAUGACCCUGUCAUGAAAUAUGGCAACAUGUAUUCAGGCUUAUCUGUCCACUAGCAGUGUAACAUAACCAAAAAAACAACUUACAAAGCUGAAUGGCACACUGUCAAACCAGAGUUAUCAGGCAGGAUAGUUAUGACCUUGUGGUGACAAGCCUAACUGCCUUACCUACGCCAAAUUUCACUUGAAGUCAAUUGUGAGCAUGUUGCAGUACUCAUGUUGCAAGUGACGCCAAGCUUAAGGUUGAUGAACCUGCAAACAGCAUCAGGGUGUGCAAUAGAAUAAGGUCAAAACUGUCCCAACAUCAAUUGGUUAUACAAGGUCAGUAUGGAUAACCAUCUGCCAGAUCAAUACCAUUUGAGGCACUAUAGUAAACCCUACCAGUAAGGGAACCAACCAAACAUGACAUUACCUGCAGCAACUCAUCAUAGUCUUGCAUCCUGCAGUUAGGAAAUCAACUGCAAUCUUGAGGCUAAGCUCUACCAAACCAGCAGGUGAAAGGAGUGGUCAAGUGUUUUUGCAGUUGGGCUAGACACCAAUAGUAUCUGUAGCAUUCAGCAGGAACCAAUCCUGCACAAAAAUCAAAACCUUGCCAGCCUUGCAUCAAGUCAACCUGUUUCAAACCUGUUUCAAGUUCAAGUCAGAUGGGCAUAAUCCUUGUAGUGGCUACAUUUCAUUUGGUCAAAUGCUGCAAGAGGACAUCAGCACCAACUACACACCAUGAGAUGCACAUCAAUAGGGCUUCAGAGUGUGCCAGGCAUCAUAUGUCAGCAGCACUGUUCUAAGAUCUCCAUUGUCAUGUCAAUCAUGGUUGUACAACAGCAAUGUCACGCUAUGUGUUAUGCUGCACCAAGAUGAAUCAAGAUGGAGAAUGGUUGCCUUCCUGCAAAGACAAGACAGAAAUUUACAGUCAUGAGGAACAAACCAAUGAAGUAUGGCAAUGGACCCAACUAACCCUGCAUAUCAGACACAAUUCAGCUCAGGUUGAGAUGCAACCUUCAUGGCCAAUCCAAUGCCUCAAUCCAAACACAAUGACCAUGGUGAACCAUUCUCCUAUUGAGUUGAAAUGGUCACGACAGUGCAUACCUUGGAGCCAAGCAAUGUCCAAACUUGCAUCACACCUUACCAUGGCUAAGCUUUAAGUUGGGACAUAGGAAAAACAGAUGAGGGCAAGGAGGAGCUGAACCUAUGAAACCUUGAUCCAUACUGCAAAAAGCAUUAGCCAAAAUCUGCAUUAACAAGACAUGAACACUUCAAAGGAGCAACAUAACAGGGCAUGUAAACAAGGUAACCUACCAAUCCAAUGAGCACAAGGGAUAGCCAUUGAAUUCCCUAAUCCAGCACCUCACAAGCCAUUGGAUCCAGUAGAUAUUAAGGUCUGUAGUGAAGAGAGCAUGAAUGAUUAGUGAAGUUAUGAGAUUGGUCAAAAGAAAAGAUUGUACAAGGAAAGAUUGCAAUGCUUUGAAUUAACAUGACCAGUUCAAUAGGUUGUAGUUAAUUCAUUCAUUUGGUUUAAUCCUAGGAUUACCUGCUACAGCCAUCAACAUUCUACUUCAUCAUUUCACUGAAACAACCUGACUUAACUCCAUUACACUAAUCAUCAAAACCUGCUCAGCAGGUCAUCCUUCAUUUUAAGAGCAAUUCCACUUAAACCAACCUGUGAUAACCAGUAAACAAAUUCAAAUCAUUAACAGUACAUUAGCCAACUUAAGUUGAGAUAACUAACUGAGUUUUGAUCCAAUAACCAACUGAGUUAUCUGUUAACUCAGUGAGUCCAAUUCAACUAACUCCAAACCUAAUUAACUAACUCCCAUCCUAAUCCCAAUCCAGAAAUAAUCCCAAGCUUAAAUCCUAUAUAAACACUUCAUCAUUCUCAUUUUUGCACAGUUUUUUUGAACCCUGCAAAUCCAGAGCCAUUUCUCUGCAAACUCUCUCACCCUCACCAAAGCUCUCAUUCUCUCUCACAAGAAAGGUCAUUCUCUCUCACAAGAAAGGUCAUUGAAGCUUCACAUUGAAGCUUCAAUUCACCUAGAGCUAAGCCACUGCACUCUGUUUUCAAGAUUUAGAAGACGAAGGAGACAAAGAAAAGAAAAGAAGAAGAAGGCAGAAUUGAAAGCAAGAAACUCACCGGCAAACAUCUCCGAUCAUCUUCUCCGGUAUGUCGUUUACCGUUUGUUAUCGCUUUCUUGUUCUGAGCACACCGUUACAUAGCAUUUAGGUGAAGGAUCAAAAACCCCAUGGCAUUAGGUGUUAAUUUUCAGUGAUGAGUGUUUAAUUGAACGUUGAUUAGGCUAGGGUUCAUCGGUUAUUGAGAGCAAUUCCCUGGAUUCUUUAACCAUUAGUUGAUUCCAUUGCCAUGAGCGUGGCCAUUAGUUUCUUAAAUAGAUUGCAAGAUCAUAAAAAUAUUUUAUUCAACAUUGGAAAAAUUAGUUUCUUAAAUGCAUGGAUGUAACAACAACACACAUCUUGAAAGAAUUCAUAACUAAUUAAGAAACCUUAAAAAAAAAAAUGUAUAUUUUGUAAUCCAUAUUAGAAAAUGAUGUUUAUGAGCAUGGAGCAGGCAAAAGAUGAGUUAGCAAACAAAUGCUUUUAUAUUGGUGGGUAGUCUAACGGAAGGUUUAGAUCACUUAAUAUUUAAAUAAAAAAUAAGAUAAAAAUAAUGGUAUCAUUAUAAAAAGAAAUAAAAACAUAAACUGC